GAGUUUUGAUCAUGGCUCAGAACGAACGCUGGCGGCGUGGAUAAGACAUGCAAGUCGAGCGCGAAUUCUGGUGUAGCAAUACAUCAGAGUUUGAGCGGCGCAAGGGUGCGUAACACGUGGGUAAUUUGCCGUGAAGUUGGGGAUAACUCGCUGAAAGGCGAGCUAAUACCGGAUGUGGUUAUUGGAUGGCAUCAUUUGGUAACUAAAGCUGGGGAUCGUAAGACCUGGCGCUUCAUGAUAAGCCCGCGGCCUAUCAGCUAGUUGGUGAGGUAACGGCUCACCAAGGCGAAGACGGGUAGCUGGUCUGAGAGGACGACCAGCCACACUGGAACUGAGACACGGUCCAGACACCUACGGGUGGCAGCAGUCGAGAAUUUUUCUCAAUGGGCGCAAGCCUGAAGGAGCGACGCCGCGUGGGGGAUGAAGGGUUUCGAUCCGUAAACCUCUUUUAUCAACUAGGAAGAUAUGACCAGUUGAUGAAUAAGCACCUGCUAACUACGUGCC
This 504-nucleotide ribosomal RNA is filed under the name uncultured Verrucomicrobiota bacterium. Its description in RNAcentral is "bacterial SSU rRNA". It matches the Rfam family "Bacterial small subunit ribosomal RNA", at positions 9 to 509 of the family's 1533-position model. The record is from RNAcentral. Lineage: Bacteria; Pseudomonadati; Verrucomicrobiota.